UUCAAAAAUCAAUUAAUUAGGGUUCCAACCAAAUAACUCCCCUUCCAAAAUUUUAAUCCCUACUUCCACCCGCUCCCCUACGUCAAGCCAUUCAAAGAACUCUGCUUCCAUACGUUUGCUCUGAUCGAAGAACUAAGCCUUUUGCACCAUUUAAUUGGAUCGAUUUGGUGGUCUUCCAUGGUAGAUUCGUAAACAUCUCCAUAUAUUCAAUAUGGGAAAGAACGUAAUGCACAUCCAAAUUUUGACAAAGAUUUGUGGUCACGAGCUGAGGGCAAGAAUAAAGUACAAGUGUACGGGUUAGGCAAUGAUAGUGACCCGUGUGUACACAUCAGAGAAGACCCUAAGAUUAAAAAGUUGAACUUAGUUAUCAAGGAGCUCGUUAAGGAAAAAGAUGAAGAAAAAGAAAGGUUCAAUGGAAUUAUUGCGGGGUUGUUGGCUGACAAAGAAAAAGAUAAGGUGG
This is a long non-coding RNA of Helianthus annuus (common sunflower), 460 nucleotides long. RefSeq lists it as uncharacterized. The record is from RefSeq and is a predicted model, not a curated record. Lineage: Eukaryota; Viridiplantae; Streptophyta; Magnoliopsida; Asterales; Asteraceae. The transcript is spliced from 3 exons.